GUCCCCUUCGUCUAGCGGUCUAGGACAUCGCCCUUUCACGGCGAAAACACGGGUUCGAGUCCCGUAGGGGACACCA
Molecule: transfer RNA, 76 nt
Filed under: Alphaproteobacteria bacterium
Lineage: Bacteria; Pseudomonadati; Pseudomonadota; Alphaproteobacteria
Description: tRNA-Glu
Rfam family: tRNA
About the family: Transfer RNA (tRNA) molecules are approximately 80 nucleotides in length.
Source: RNAcentral